RNAcentral lists this ribosomal RNA (117 nucleotides) under Syntrophaceae bacterium. Lineage: Bacteria; Pseudomonadati; Thermodesulfobacteriota; Syntrophia; Syntrophales; Syntrophaceae. RNAcentral also lists the same sequence under 1 other name. The record is from RNAcentral.
UUCGGUGGCUAUAGCGGAGAGGACACACCCGUUCCCAUCCCGAACACGGAAGUUAAGCUCUCUUGCGCCGAUGGUACUGCAUGGGUGACUGUGUGGGAGAGUAGGUCGCCGCCGGGA